This 1417-nucleotide ribosomal RNA is filed under the name Burkholderia mallei FMH. RNAcentral describes it as "16S ribosomal RNA". Lineage: Bacteria; Pseudomonadati; Pseudomonadota; Betaproteobacteria; Burkholderiales; Burkholderiaceae. The record is from RNAcentral.
UGCAGAUCGGUCGUCUCGAGCACGGCGAGCGUCGCCUUCGUGCCGGCGGGCGCGCUCGCGCCGGACUGCGCGCCGGGCGAAUCGACGUCGUCGUUGCAGCCCGCGACGAGCGCCGCGCACGCGACGAGGGCGGCGGCAAGGCGCCGCCGGCGAAAACGCAAGGGGAAUGGCAUCGGGAUUUUUCCUGUUCUGUUUCCGUUGAGCCGGGGAUGGCGUGAGCGGCGCAUGCGCCGACGGCCUGACAUCCAGCGCGUGAGAGUAUCGAAAGGAAACGUGACCGAAGAAUGAAAGCGCGCGGAGGGCCCGCCGGAAGGCGCGCUGAAAGCAUAACGGAAGCUCGCGCGGCGCGCGCCGCGCCGGCCGGCCGGCCGGGCAAAACGAGACUUCGCGCGGCGAGGCGGUUCGCUACAAUGGCCGCUGUCACCGUUUCGCAAAAUCGCCCUUGAACUUCCAGACUCCCCCCGGCUUGUCGAUCGACGCCGGCAGCCAAGGCCGCACCGUGCGCCUCUGCGGCCAGUGGACGGCGCUCGCGCUCGCGCGCGACCGCGGCAACGUCGCGCGCCGGAUCGCCCGGCUCGCGAAGGAGGCGGUCGGCGAGUGGGACCUGUCGGGCGUCGAGCGGCUCGACCACGUCGGCGGGCAGGCGCUCUGGCGCGUGUGGGGCCGCAGGCUGCCCGACGGGAUCGCGCUCACCGACAACCAGCGGGUGGUGUUCAAACGCAUCGAACGGCUCGACGCGGGCCGCGAGUCGCCCGAGCCCGUCGUGCGGAUCGAUCCCGUCACGCGCUUCGGCCAGGGUCUCUUCACGUUCGGCGAGCACCUGUACGGCGGCAUCGCGCUGCUCGGCGGCCUGAUCGUCGACCUGCUGGCGGUGCUGCGCCGGCCGCGCACGAUGCCGUGGACCGAAAUCUCCGCGAACGUCUACGCGGCCGGCACGAAGGCGCUGCCGAUCACGGCGCUCGUCGCGUUCCUGAUCGGCAUCGUGCUGUCGUAUCUGUCCGCGCAGCAGUUGCAGCUGUUCGGCGCGAACCGCUACAUCGUCAACAUCCUCGGCCUGUCCGUGAUCCGCGAGCUCGGGCCGGUGCUGUCGGCGAUCCUCGUCGCGGGCCGCUCGGGCUCCGCGAUCACCGCGCAGAUCGGCGUGAUGCGCGUGACCGAGGAGCUCGACGCGAUGCGCGUGAUGGGCAUUCCGCACGGCCUGCGCAUCACGCUGCCGCGCGUGCUCGCGCUCGGCGUCGCGAUGCCGCUCCUCGUGAUGUGGACCAACGUGAUCGCGCUCACGGGCGGCGCGCUCGCCGCGAAGUUCGUGCUCGGCAUCGAUCUGAACUUCUUCGUGCGCUCGCUGCCGUCGGUCGUGCCGAUCGCGAACCUGUUCAUCGGGCUCGGCAAGGGCGUCGUGUUCGGGAUGCUGAUCGCG